This 980-nucleotide ribosomal RNA is filed under the name Salmonella enterica. RNAcentral's name for it is "bacterial SSU rRNA". It matches the Rfam family "Bacterial small subunit ribosomal RNA", at positions 127 to 1102 of the family's 1533-position model. Lineage: Bacteria; Pseudomonadati; Pseudomonadota; Gammaproteobacteria; Enterobacterales; Enterobacteriaceae. The record is from RNAcentral.
UGCCUGAUGGAGAGGGAUAACUACUGGAAACGGUGGCUAAUACCGCAUAACGUCGCAAGACCAAAGAGGGGGACCUUCGGGCCUCUUGCCAUCAGAUGUGCCCAGAUGGGAUUAGCUUGUUGGUGAGGUAACGGCUCACCAAGGCGACGAUCCCUAGCUGGUCUGAGAGGAUGACCAGCCACACUGGAACUGAGACACGGUCCAGACUCCUACGGGAGGCAGCAGUGGGGAAUAUUGCACAAUGGGCGCAAGCCUGAUGCAGCCAUGCCGCGUGUAUGAAGAAGGCCUUCGGGUUGUAAAGUACUUUCAGCGGGGAGGAAGGUGUUGUGGUUAAUAACCGCAGCAAUUGACGUUACCCGCAGAAGAAGCACCGGCUAACUCCGUGCCAGCAGCCGCGGUAAUACGGAGGGUGCAAGCGUUAAUCGGAAUUACUGGGCGUAAAGCGCACGCAGGCGGUCUGUCAAGUCGGAUGUGAAAUCCCCGGGCUCAACCUGGGAACUGCAUUCGAAACUGGCAGGCUUGAGUCUUGUAGAGGGGGGUAGAAUUCCAGGUGUAGCGGUGAAAUGCGUAGAGAUCUGGAGGAAUACCGGUGGCGAAGGCGGCCCCCUGGACAAAGACUGACGCUCAGGUGCGAAAGCGUGGGGAGCAAACAGGAUUAGAUACCCUGGUAGUCCACGCCGUAAACGAUGUCUACUUGGAGGUUGUGCCCUUGAGGCGUGGCUUCCGGAGCUAACGCGUUAAGUAGACCGCCUGGGGAGUACGGCCGCAAGGUUAAAACUCAAAUGAAUUGACGGGGGCCCGCACAAGCGGUGGAGCAUGUGGUUUAAUUCGAUGCAACGCGAAGAACCUUACCUGGUCUUGACAUCCACAGAAGAAUCCAGAGAUGGAUUUGUGCCUUCGGGAACUGUGAGACAGGUGCUGCAUGGCUGUCGUCAGCUCGUGUUGUGAAAUGUUGGGUUAAGUCCCGCAACGAGCGCAAC